UUCUUGCAUUUUUUGAUUUGUGUUUUCUUCCAUUUCUUUUAGGGAUUUUCUCAUAUCCUCUUUGAGGGUCUCUUUUAUUUUCAGGAGUUUGCUUUGAAGAUCAUUUUUCCUGUUUCAUCUGUGUUAAUAUGUUCAGGUCUUGCUGGUGUAGAGUUUCUAGACUCUGGUGGUGUCAUACUGGUUCCUCUGUUGUUGGCUGUGUUUUUAUAUUGCUUUCUUCCCAUCCUUUUUUCAAUGGGAGCCCAUGGGGUCUCUUCCUCUCCUGGUGGGUUGGGGUCUACUGAUCAUUUCCAGUGCGUUCAAGCAGGUCCAGUACUUCAAUGGGUGCAGGUGGGUCUGGGACACUCUCAAGCACUGGUCAGAGACCAGAGUGGACUAAAGACUUAAACAUCAGCCUAGCACCACAUAGCAAGAGGACCCGAAGGAAGAAUUGCUUAGAUCCAGCUAGUCUCCUGUGGAAGACUGUCUUGAGUGCCAUAAUGGUGCAUGAAUGUUGAUAGCAACAUUUCAUCAACAGCACUUUGUGUAUGAAUGAAGCGAGCAGGAAGCAGGCAAUUAAAUAAGCGUGCAUUGGGUCUCUCUGUCUCAUGAAUAUGGAUGUGAUGUGACUAGCUGCUUCUGCUCCUAUGUUGAGCUCCCCUCAAGGAUGUAACUAGGAAUUGUAAGCCUAAUAAACCCUUUCCUCCCUUGCUGUUGAUUUUUGCUGCCAUCUUUUAUCCCAGGAACAGAAAUGAAACUCAAACACAAAUUGGCGCUGAGGAAAUGGAGUUGUUCCUGUGAUAAAACUGACUCUGUUGUUUGGGCAGAGAAAUCUGAGAGACUCUGCAGCUUUGGUCUGGAAAAGCUAUUGGAUGUUACUGGAAACACCCACUGAGACAUUUUAAUGAAAGCUUGGAAGACAGUAAUACUGAAAGCAAUGUGGGCAGUGGAGGCCUAGCUCAUGAAGUUUCAGGGUGACGAGGACUUUACUAGAAACUGGGUCAGGGACCAUUCAUGAGAUAUUUUGACUAAAUAUGCAUGUGCUGAUUAGGCUGGGACUAAAGAAUCUGUUGUAAUUAAUAAGAAACAUUUACUGUUGAAUGGAAAGUUGUGUUUCAUUGUGACAACAGGAAAGUAUUUCAUUAGGACUAGCAUACAGAAACUCAACCAACUGUGGUCCAAAUGGGCCAGGCUGGCUACACCAGAAUUUUACAGAAAAACUUGGCAAUAAUAUAGGAGAUGUCCACAUGGUACUAGUGUUAAAGGAAUAAAGUGAUCAUGGAGAGAAGCUGAGGUCUGGCACUGUGUGAAAGCAAGGACUCAGUUGCAGUAGAGACCCCAGGAUGCUGAGAGGCCAGAAUUAUUGGUUAUCUCCCAAGGGUAGCCGUGGGUGUGGAACUGAACCAGGCUAAGAUAGAAACUGUGUGGUGGAAAGGGCAGAACUGGGGGAUGGGGUCACCAAAGCCCUCUGGAGCCCCAAAGAUCACAAGCCACAGAUAAUCAGACACUAAACAACUAGACUUGGUAUUUAUACUGUUGGGCUUUGGUUUGACUUAAGCAUGAUUGUUCACUUACUGUGCUGCAGUUCUUCCUUUUUGGAACAAGAAUGUUUAAGUGGUAACUUUUUAAAUCUAUUUUAUAGGAGCUUGUGGUUAAGAGACUUUGGGAUUUUUAAUGUUUUGCACCUUUGAAGUAUUGAAAUUGCUUAAGACUUUUGGAGCUUUCUAGAGUGUGACUUUGUUUUGUAUUAUAAGAGUAACAUGAGACUUUGGAGACAAGAGAUUAAAUAAUUAUGCUUGGGGUAAUGUUUGUGUGUCAAGGUGACAAGGUGUGGAUUAUGAAGGAUAAUUUUAAAUGUCAACUUGCCACAGCCUAGAAUCAUAUGGGAAGAAAGUCUUAAUGAAGGAUUGCCUAGAUCAGGUUGAUCCAUUUGGGGGAUUGUCUUUAUUGCCUUAUUUGGGACAGGUAAAAGGACCCUGAAUAUAGGUGGUACCAUUUCAUGGGCGGGGCCUUCAGCUGUACACGAAUAUAGAAAGCAGGAAAUAACAGGCAAGGAUCCCUUUGUUCUCUCUCCACUCUGAAAUGUGGAUGUGAUGUGGCAAUGGAACUGUUCCUUCCUAGACUUCACUUCAGUGAUUAAACUGUAACUUGGGGUUGUAAACCAAA
Long non-coding RNA from Mesocricetus auratus (golden hamster), 2145 nucleotides. RefSeq lists it as uncharacterized. The transcript has 2 exons. The record is from RefSeq and is a predicted model, not a curated record. Lineage: Eukaryota; Metazoa; Chordata; Mammalia; Rodentia; Cricetidae.